This 1699-nucleotide ribosomal RNA is filed under the name Salmonella enterica subsp. enterica serovar Anatum. Its description in RNAcentral is "partial 23S ribosomal RNA". It matches the Rfam family "Bacterial large subunit ribosomal RNA", at positions 1252 to 2925 of the family's 2925-position model. Lineage: Bacteria; Pseudomonadati; Pseudomonadota; Gammaproteobacteria; Enterobacterales; Enterobacteriaceae. The record is from RNAcentral.
GAAGGUGGCCUGUGAGGGUUGCUGGAGGUAUCAGAAGUGCGAAUGCUGACAUAAGUAACGAUAAAGCGGGUGAAAAGCCCGCUCGCCGGAAGACCAAGGGUUCCUGUCCAACGUUAAUCGGGGCAGGGUGAGUCGACCCCUAAGGCGAGGCCGAAAGGCGUAGUCGAUGGGAAACAGGUUAAUAUUCCUGUACUUGGUGUUACUGCGAAGGGGGGACGGAGAAGGCUAUGUUGGCCGGGCGACGGUUGUCCCGGUUUAAGCGUGUAGGCUGGUUUUCCAGGCAAAUCCGGAAAACUGAGGCGUGAUGACGAGGCACUACGGUGCUGAAGCAACAAAUGCCCUGCUUCCAGGAAAAGCCUCUAAGCAUCAGGUAACAUCAAAUCGUACCCCAAACCGACACAGGUGGUCAGGUAGAGAAUACCAAGGCGCUUGAGAGAACUCGGGUGAAGGAACUAGGCAAAAUGGUGCCGUAACUUCGGGAGAAGGCACGCUGACACGUAGGUGAAGUGAUUUACUCAUGGAGCUGAAGUCAGUCGAAGAUACCAGCUGGCUGCAACUGUUUAUUAAAAACACAGCACUGUGCAAACACGAAAGUGGACGUAUACGGUGUGACGCCUGCCCGGUGCCGGAAGGUUAAUUGAUGGGGUCAGCGCAAGCGAAGCUCCUGAUCGAAGCCCCGGUAAACGGCGGCCGUAACUAUAACGGUCCUAAGGUAGCGAAAUUCCUUGUCGGGUAAGUUCCGACCUGCACGAAUGGCGUAAUGAUGGCCAGGCUGUCUCCACCCGAGACUCAGUGAAAUUGAACUCGCUGUGAAGAUGCAGUGUACCCGCGGCAAGACGGAAAGACCCCGUGAACCUUUACUAUAGCUUGACACUGAACAUUGAGCCUUGAUGUGUAGGAUAGGUGGGAGGCUUUGAAGUGUGGACGCCAGUCUGCAUGGAGCCGACCUUGAAAUACCACCCUUUAAUGUUUGAUGUUCUAACGUGGACCCGUGAUCCGGGUUGCGGACAGUGUCUGGUGGGUAGUUUGACUGGGGCGGUCUCCUCCUAAAGAGUAACGGAGGAGCACGAAGGUUGGCUAAUCCUGGUCGGACAUCAGGAGGUUAGUGCAAUGGCAUAAGCCAGCUUGACUGCGAGCGUGACGGCGCGAGCAGGUGCGAAAGCAGGUCAUAGUGAUCCGGUGGUUCUGAAUGGAAGGGCCAUCGCUCAACGGAUAAAAGGUACUCCGGGGAUAACAGGCUGAUACCGCCCAAGAGUUCAUAUCGACGGCGGUGUUUGGCACCUCGAUGUCGGCUCAUCACAUCCUGGGGCUGAAGUAGGUCCCAAGGGUAUGGCUGUUCGCCAUUUAAAGUGGUACGCGAGCUGGGUUUAGAACGUCGUGAGACAGUUCGGUCCCUAUCUGCCGUGGGCGCUGGAGAACUGAGGGGGGCUGCUCCUAGUACGAGAGGACCGGAGUGGACGCAUCACUGGUGUUCGGGUUGUCAUGCCAAUGGCACUGCCCGGUAGCUAAAUGCGGAAGAGAUAAGUGCUGAAAGCAUCUAAGCACGAAACUUGCCCCGAGAUGAGUUCUCCCUGAGACUUAGAGUCUCCUGAAGGAACGUUGAAGACGACGACGUUGAUAGGCCGGGUGUGUAAGCGCAGCGAUGCGUUGAGCUAACCGGUACUAAUGAACCGUGAGGCUUAACCUUACAACGCCGAAG